Homo sapiens (human) is the source of this 2071-nucleotide RNA transcript. It is a transcript of the gene named serine protease 44, pseudogene, with no coding region annotated. The record is from RefSeq and is marked validated. NCBI's taxonomy places the organism in Eukaryota, Metazoa, Chordata, Mammalia, Primates, Hominidae. The transcript is spliced from 3 exons.
GCUCCAAGUUGCCGCCAGAACCCAUGGCCGGCGUGGAAACCGCUGCGAGGCGGCGCCACGACGGAGGCUGAGGUCGCCGGCAGUAUCCAUGGCGUCCCAGAGCGGCAGCUCCCUGGGGCUCCUGGCCUGGUUCUUGCUUCUUCAGCCAUGGCUCGAAGAGGCCCGGGCAGGCAGGGUGGGUGCGCAGGGAGGCGUAGCACUGCUCUUCCCCUCCGCGCUCCCCUCAGGGCCAGGCGGCCAGGACCCCGGAGCGAGCGGAUGGGAGCCGCCACCUGUAGGGGCUCCAGGAUCCCCAGCGGCCCCCCAGUCCAGGGGGAACGCAGUGCGCCCCGCUUCGGUGUUACUUCCCUCAGCCUGUGGCCAGCGGACUUCAAGGAUAACUGGAGGAUUGCCGGCUCCAGACAGGAAGUGGCCCUGGCAGGUGAGCCUGCAGACCAGCAACAGACACAUCUGCGGAGGCUCCCUUAUCGCCAGACACUGGGUACUCACUGCCGCUCACUGCAUCUCUGGGUGAGGGUUUGGGGCUCAGAGCUUGGGCCCUGAUCAGGCUGUGGGACCUGGAGCCAGUCUGUCCCCCUCCCUGAACUUCCUCUUCCUCAUCUGUAAAAGGGGGUGACAGCCCCAUAGUUUUUAUCCAGUCUGGGUGAGACCUGAGGAUUUGCAUUUCUAACAAGUUUCUGGGUGUUGCCUCCGCCGCUGAUCUGGGGACUACUGGCUAAAGUGGUCAGGGGUCCUGGAGGGAUGUGGCUUGGAGAGAGGGAGGUAGCUGCUGGCUGGCAUAGGAAGAUGGUACCAGGCGGGAAGCACCUCGAAGGUGUGGAAGCAGAGUGUAGACCCUGGAGGAUCUUCCUGCAGCCAUCUGGAAUACACAGUGAAGCUGGGAGACACAAAUGUGCAUCAUCGCUCCAAAACAGCACUUGUGGUCCCAGUUCGUGACGUCGUUAUCCACCGAUAUUUUACGUCUCCUGGAAUAAUUGAAAAUGACAUUGCCCUUGCCCUGCUUGACUUCCCUGUGAAUUACUCCACGCACAUCCAGCUUGUGUGCCUCCCUGAACAGGCUUUCAUGGUGCAAGCUGGUACGAACUGCUGGGUGACCGGAUGGGGCAAAGUAAAUGAAACAGGGAGAUUCUGGGGGGCCCCUGGUCUGUGAAUUAAAUGGCACAUGGGUCCAGGUGGGGAUUGUGAGCUGGGGCAUUGGCUGCGGUCGCAAAGGAUACCCUGGAGUUUACACAGAAGUUAGUUUCUACAAGAAAUGGAUUAUUGAUCACCUGAGACAAGCUUCCUGUUUGAAUUCAAAGACUUCCUCAUCCUAGUCCUGUGUCUGGUGAUGCCCCUGGGCAUCCUGGUGACCCUGUGAUCAGACCCCAUUCCACUCUUCUGCUGUUUCUGAGUCUCACACUUAGGUGUCUCCUCUGACCAACUUCCCACUCCUUCUCAAUGCCCUUUCCACAAAUGCCAGUUGGAAUCCACGGGCCCUCUGGAGAUCCGUACAAUAGAGCAUGGCAGGGAGACUGGGGCCUGGAAAGUGCCCCUGCCUGGUGCUCUGGUCACUUGCCUCAGCCAUGCCUGCACCAGGGCUGUGCUCUGGCUGGUGGGAAGGAGGGAGUGAACCGAUUCCAGCUAGAGGGCCAGCCUCCCUGCCAAGUGGGCCACGGUGACUCAUCAAUAUCUGGAGGAACAUCUAUCAAAGAAGAGACAUCAUCAAUGGUGAAGGAAGCGUUAGACGUGGUUCUGGUUUCAGGGCUCUCACCUGAGACUUUGUGAAACCAGCCAGCUGGGUGAUUGCUCACAGAGAGAGAAGGAGGCGUUACCAGGUCCCUGCAGACGUGUGAGGCCUGGGACUUCCACUCUGGCUCAGUAGUCUGGGGCUGGGAGAAGUUCCCCUGCAGCCCAGUGUGGAUCCAUCUGUGAGUGGACAGCCUCUGCCACACCAGCUCUCUUGGGGCAACCCAUUCUUGCACCUCUUUCCUCAGUGCCCUGGUGGCCACUUUCAGGGACACUACAAAUUGUAUUGAGUCUGUUAUGGGGUGUGGAGUUUUCGGAAAUCAACUAAAUAAAUAUUUGGGGAGUC